Molecule: ribosomal RNA, 253 nt
Filed under: uncultured bacterium
Lineage: Bacteria
Description: partial 16S ribosomal RNA
Rfam family: Bacterial small subunit ribosomal RNA
Source: RNAcentral
UACGUAGGGUGCAAGCGUUGUCCGGAAUUAUUGGGCGUAAAGAGCUCGUAGGCGGUCUGUCGCGUCGGCUGUGAAAACCUGGGGCUUAACUCCGGGCCUGCAGCCGAUACGGGCAGACUAGAGUUCGGCAGGGGAGACUGGAAUUCCUGGUGUAGCGGUGAAAUGCGCAGAUAUCAGGAGGAACACCGGUGGCGAAGGCGGCUUGCUGGGCCUUACCUGACGCUGAGGAGCGAAAGCGUGGGGAGCGAACAGG